Molecule: ribosomal RNA, 257 nt
Filed under: uncultured bacterium
Lineage: Bacteria
Description: partial 16S ribosomal RNA
Rfam family: Bacterial small subunit ribosomal RNA
Source: RNAcentral
UACGUAGGGGCAAGCGGUUGUCCGGAUUUAUUGGGCGUUAAAGAGCGUGUAGGCGGCUUGGUAGGUCCGCUGUGAAAACUCGAGGCUCAACCUCGAGAUGUCGGCGGAAACCACUUGGCUUAGAGUCCGGAAGAGGAGAGUGGAAUUCCUGGUGUAGCGGUGAAAUGACGCAGAUAUCAGGAGGAACACCGGUGGCGAAGGCGGGUCUCUGGGCCGAUAUUGACGCUGAGGAGCGAAAGCGUGGGGGAGCGAACAGG